CGGGGGGAGUGGCGGACGGGUGAGUAACGCGUGGGAACCUGCCCUGGAGUGGGGAACAACCGCUGGAAACGGCGGCUAAUACCGCAUACGCCCGAAAGGGGAAAGCCUUGUGCGCUCCAGGAUGGGCCCGCGUCCGAUUAGCUUGUUGGUGGGGUAACGGCCUACCAAGGCAUCGAUCGGUAGCUGGUCUGAGAGGACGAUCAGCCACACUGGGACUGAGACACGGCCCAGACUCC
Molecule: ribosomal RNA, 236 nt
Filed under: uncultured bacterium
Lineage: Bacteria
Description: partial 16S ribosomal RNA
Rfam family: Bacterial small subunit ribosomal RNA
Source: RNAcentral